AGCAUAUGUCGGCAGCAGGAAUGGUGCUGAGGAAAUGUCUCCUGGCAUCUUUCAGAAGUCCAUUUAUGAAAGGGUCUCCUAACUCAGACUGCUGAACAUGACGGUACUGAAUUACAAAUUUACGAAGAAAGAGAAUCCAGGAGAUACCAAGAAGCUAGAUGUUAACCUGCAGGAUUCUAAAUCUGAGGAACUGUGCUUGGAACAGUGAGGGAAGAGGUGUGCAAACAGCAGAAUGUGUCAGGCUUUUUCAUUUUACUUAUGGCAUAUGUCAAGGGCUUCCAAUCUAAACCUUCUUUUACCUUAUCAAGACACAGGUAAGUUUCUGUAUUAUUUUUUCCUUGGAAGGGGCCAUGGCUCAAAAAUAGUCAUUAUGGACUGUUAACCAAUCUACUCCUUGCCAAAGACUUUUUCAUGAUGGUAUCAGGUGACUGGGCAAGUCUUGGGCUUCAAGAGCCUUCUAGAAAAUUAGGAUAGAUGAUCCAAAGCUGGGACUGUCCCAGGCACACCAGAUAGAUGCCUGCUUCUUUACCUUAGGUUGGAUGUGUUUUUAUCUUUACUUAAUGGUUUUUGGCAAUUAUUUAGCCUGGCUCAUAAGAUCAUUAUAACUCAUUAAGAGUUUUAGGCUACAUCUGAAGUUGAGGGAUUUCAAUUGUCCUCUUCAUGCAAGAAAUCAAUAUCUGAAUUGCAGUUACAAGGUUGCAAAGCAAUGCAAAAUCAUCAUAACAAGAAAAUAGUCAUAAACAAACUAGCUACUUAAAAACUUAGCCCUUCCUGAAAGAUCCCUCAUAGCUUAACACUGCGACCUAACCCCACUUAUCACGUCAAUGCCUUUUGCAGGUCAUUCAGUGCUUGUGUAAUGUAGUAAACACCCCACAAUUACAGUCUAGAUAAGGGGCAAACCUGUCCAUGCAAACUCACUGACAAAUGAAGAUCUGGCCAACUUGGAGAAAAAAAAAAUCAACAAAUAAUAACAUCACAAAAACUUCAAAAGAAAAUAAUUGACAAGGCUGGUCAUGGUAGCUCACAUCUGUAAUCCCAGCACUUUGGAAGGCUGAGGUGGGUGGAUCUCUUGAGGCCAGGAAUUUGAGAACAGCCUGGACAACAUGGUAAGACCCCCAUCUCUACAAAACUUUUUAAACUAGCCAAGCAUGGCGUUGUGUGCCUGCAGUCCCACCUACCAGGGAGGCUGAGGUGGGAGGAUUGCCUGAGCCCAGGAGGUCAAGGCUGUAGUGAGCCAUAAUCAUGCCACUGCACUUGUUCAUUGUUUAAUCUAAGAGUUUAGUUUGUAGUUGCUAUUAUAAUCCAUAUUUUUUGUCAAAUAAGACAAAACAAUUUAUUUUUAUAAGUGUUAUUUCAUUUUUCAAGAUAAAGUCUCAAUCAAUCUUCUUCCCCAUCACCCCCGGACAGUAAAUAAACUGAAGAUUUUGGUUCCUGAUAAGUGGCCUUUUCCUGUUACUAAAACUCCUAAAACAAUGAGCAUAUUUUUAAAAUGUGGAUAAAACUCAGUGUCUGCUCCAAAAGAGACCAUCUUUUCCUUCCUCCCCCAAGAUUCAACAGGCCUGUCUUUUCCCGUUCCCCUCUUCUGCAGAAAGUGGAGGAGCUUCAUCUUUUGGAUAUACAAGAUUCUUCUCAAGUUUAUUUUCCUUGCAAAAUAAGUCAGACCUAAGUGGGAGCCUUAAUAGAAUUUUGUCAGGAGAUGUUAGGUUAUCAGGACCUUAAAGAUUGAUCCAGAAGAGGUCUGAAAGGUCCGUAUCACCCAGAAUGACUUUCACUAACAGAGAUCAACAUUACCACCCUGUCGGAGGAUCCUCACUGAUCCUAAACUAUGCUGGUUCUGAAGUGCUAAAUAAUUGCUUUUUCGAGACGGAGUCUCGCACUGUCACCCAGACUGGAAUGCAGUGGAGCGACCUCGGCUCAAUGCAGGCUCCGCCUCC
RNAcentral lists this long non-coding RNA (1934 nucleotides) under Homo sapiens (human). RNAcentral describes it as "HSALNT0111181". Lineage: Eukaryota; Metazoa; Chordata; Mammalia; Primates; Hominidae. The record is from RNAcentral.